RNAcentral lists this ribosomal RNA (376 nucleotides) under uncultured organism. Its description in RNAcentral is "bacterial SSU rRNA". It matches the Rfam family "Bacterial small subunit ribosomal RNA", at positions 526 to 896 of the family's 1533-position model. The record is from RNAcentral.
CGGGGGGAGCAAGCGUUGUUCGGAUUUACUGGGCGUAAAGGGCGCGUAGGCGGCCACCGCAAGUCAAUUGUGAAAUCUCCGGGCUUAACUCGGAAAGGUCAACUGAUACUGCGGGGCUAGAGUGCAGAAGGGGCAACUGGAAUUCUCGGUGUAGCGGUGAAAUGCGUAGAUAUCGAGAGGAACACCUGCGGCGAAGGCGGGUUGCUGGGCUGACACUGACGCUGAGGCGCGAAAGCUAGGGGAGCGAACGGGAUUAGAUACCCCGGUAGUCCUAGCCUUAAACGAUGAAUGCUUGGUGUCUGGGGGUUAUAAAGUCCCCGGGUGCCGUCGCUAACGCUUUAAGCAUUCCGCCUGGGGGAGUACGGUCGCAAGACUG